Long non-coding RNA from Myotis lucifugus (little brown bat), 982 nucleotides. RefSeq lists it as uncharacterized. The transcript is spliced from 3 exons. NCBI's taxonomy places the organism in Eukaryota, Metazoa, Chordata, Mammalia, Chiroptera, Vespertilionidae. The record is from RefSeq and is a predicted model, not a curated record.
AAAAAGAAAUUAUAGUACUGUACUUAAUCUAGCUCUGGUUCUUGUCAUUUAGCAUUACAAGUCACCUAGCCUUUUUAUCCGCCAGGAAUUUUGUUUAUUCUUUGAAGUUAUUUAUAACCAAAACACCUCCUCCAAGGGGAAAAUUUUUAAAGAAAAAGCAUUGCUCAGAGAAUUUAGAAUCCAAAAUAUAGGAAGGGGGCGGGGAUGGUAUAAGGAAUUAUUAAAUUGGGAGGAGGAGGGGUCUAAUGUAGAAACUAUUGCAUGCAUAGUGUUCAUAAUCUGAAAGAUGCUAUAUUCCCUUUUACUUCGAAUAAUGAAAAUCAGAGUUGGGUGGAAAGAAGAGCAAGGAUCCACAGUGUGACUCAUACCUUGUUCCACCUCCAAACCUUCCAUAAAGUUACUCAACUUGAAGAAAUAAACAUGUGUUGAAGGUCACAACAAUGAAGUAUUAGAUCGCAUGAAGACCAUGGAAUCCCAGUACUUCUGGUAACAAUAUGAAGAAAAACACCAUCCCAAACUAGUACCAGAUCUCAGACAGACAUUUUGGAAUCACAGGACAAGAUUUUACAAAGAGUUGCUGUCUCCAAUGCUCUUCCAUUCAAUGGUUACGGUAAAUACGGAGCUGCGACUUUCAAGAGCUUAACAAUUCACAACCAUCUGUUGCCAUAUGGAUUGAAAUAUUACAAAAAAGUGACCACUGCCCCAGUGCCAUAGCAUAUGCAUCAUCUUAUACAUGUGUGAUAACAAUGAGGCAUCAGGAAAAUCAAGCAGAAGGGCUCAUAUUAACAUCAGAUGUAAUGAUGGUGACAGUGACAAUAACAGUCUUAGUCUUCUGCAUGUCCAAUAGUUAAAAGGUGGCUCUGGCCCGGUUGGCGUGGCUCAGUGGUUGAGCAUCGACCUAUGAAUCAGGAGGUCAAGGUUCAAUUCCCAGUCAGGGCACAUGCCCAGGUUGGGGCUCGAUCCCCAGUAGGAGGCGUGCAGG